This 215-nucleotide unclassified non-coding RNA is filed under the name Hevea brasiliensis (rubber tree). Lineage: Eukaryota; Viridiplantae; Streptophyta; Magnoliopsida; Malpighiales; Euphorbiaceae. The record is from RNAcentral.
CUCAUAAACUGGGUCAGAGAGUUUUGUCUGCUGUACUGGGGUAGGUGAGAGAAGAGACUGACUUUGGAUCCAUAAUCCUUUCGUGUAGGAACCUGUUGACGCUCUGGUUUUUUAACAAGCCUUCUCAGAAGUAGGUCAUCAACCUGAGGGUACUCAGGGAGACGCUUCACUCCUGAGGGGGUUUCUCCAGCUGUGCUGGGGCUGGCCUUAGGAGG